AGUGAACGCUGGCGGUAGGCCUAACACAUGCAAGUCGAACGGCAGCACAGUAAGAGCUUGCUCUUACGGGUGGCGAGUGGCGGACGGGUGAGGAAUACAUCGGAAUCUACUUUUUCGUGGGGGAUAACGUAGGGAAACUUACGCUAAUACCGCAUACGACCUACGGGUGAAAGCAGGGGAUCUUCGGACCUUGCGCGAUUGAAUGAGCCGAUGUCGGAUUAGCUAGUUGGCGGGGUAAAGGCCCACCAAGGCGACGAUCCGUAGCUGGUCUGAGAGGAUGAUCAGCCACACUGGAACUGAGACACGGUCCAGACUCCUACGGGAGGCAGCAGUGGGGAAUAUUGGACAAAGGGCGCAAGCCUGAUCCAGCCAUACCGCGUGGGUGAAGAAGGCCUUCGGGUUGUAAAGCCCUUUUGUCGGGAAAGAAAAGCAGCAGGUUAAUACCCCGCUGUUCUGACGGUACCCAAAGAAUAAGCACCGGCUAACUUCGCG
Molecule: ribosomal RNA, 492 nt
Filed under: uncultured bacterium
Lineage: Bacteria
Description: partial 16S ribosomal RNA
Rfam family: Bacterial small subunit ribosomal RNA
Source: RNAcentral